GUGGAUAACCUACCUAUAAGACUGGGAUAACUUCGGGAAACCGGAGCUAAUACCGGAUAAUAUUUUGAACCGCAUGGUUCAAAAGUGAAAGACGGUCUUGCUGUCACUUAUAGAUGGAUCCGCGCUGCAUUAGCUAGUUGGUAAGGUAACGGCUUACCAAGGCAACGAUGCAUAGCCGACCUGAGAGGGUGAUCGGCCACACUGGAAUUGAGACACGGUCCAGACUCCUACGGGAGGCAGCAGUAGGGAAUCUUCCGCAAUGGGCGAAAGCCUGACGGAGCAACGCCGCGUGAGUGAUGAAGGUCUUCGGAUCGUAUAAACUCUGUUAUUAGGGAAGAACAUAUGUGUAAGUAACUGUGCACAUCUUGACGGUACCUAAUCAGAAAGCCACGGCUAACUACGUGCCAGCAGCCGCGGUAAUACGUAGGUGGCAAGCGUUAUCCGGAAUUAUUGGGCGUAAAGCGCGCGUAGGCGGUUUUUUAAGUCUGAUGUGAAACGCCCACGGCUCAACCGUGGAGGGUCAUUGGAAACUGGAAAACUUGGUGCAGAAGAGGAAAGUGGAAUUCCAUGUGUAGCGGUGAAAUGCGCAGAGAUAUGGAGGAACACCAGUGGCGAAGGCGACUUUCUGGUCUGUAACUGACGCUGAUGUGCGAAAGCGUGGGGAUCAAACAGGAUUAGAUACCCUGGUAGUCCACGCCGUAAACGAGUGAGUGCUAAGUGUUAGGGGGUUUCCGCCCCUUAGUGCUGCAGCUAACGCAUUAAGCACUCCGCCUGGGGAGUACGACCGCAAGGUUGAAACUCAAAGGAAUUGACGGGGACCCGCACUAGCGGUGGAGCAUGUGGUUUAAUUCGAAGCAACGCGAAGAACCUUACCAAAUCUUGACAUCCUUUGACAACUCUAGAGAUAGAGCUUUCCCCUUCGGGGGA
RNAcentral lists this ribosomal RNA (927 nucleotides) under Staphylococcus aureus. RNAcentral's name for it is "bacterial SSU rRNA". It matches the Rfam family "Bacterial small subunit ribosomal RNA", at positions 117 to 1028 of the family's 1533-position model. The record is from RNAcentral. Lineage: Bacteria; Bacillati; Bacillota; Bacilli; Caryophanales; Staphylococcaceae.